UGCGUGGCCGGUGAUGGUUGGGAGUUCUGGUCCCAGGCAAGGUGGGGACUGGGCACGUCGUCAAUACGAUAGAGAACGUCACUUUUCACCAUGAAGGGUUCUUCUGGAGGUGUUGGUUUAAUGGGAUUGUGGAAGAGAAUGACUCCAAUAUUUGGAAGUUCUGGUACACCAAUCAGCCACCGUCCAAGAACUGCACACACGCUUACCUGUCUCCGUACCCCUUCAUGAGAGGCGAGCACAACUCGACCUCCUAUGACUCUGCAGUUAGCAUCCUAUUUUCAUUGGUGGUGAUGCUGUAUGUCAUCUGGGUCCAGGCAGUGGCUGACAUGGAAAGCUACCGAAACAUGAAAAUGAAGGACUGCCUGGAUUUCACCCCUUCUGUUCUGUAUGGCUGGUCAUUUUUCCUGGCCCCAGCUGGGAUAUUUUUUUCUUUGCUAGCUGGAUUACUAUUUCUAGUUGUUGGACGGCAUAUUCAGAUACAUCACUAAAUCAACUGUUGCCACAAGUAUUUUCUUGAGAAUACUUUUUUUCCAUUUUGUUUCAUUGAUCCCAGCAUAAAGUUAGUAGAUAUAACUUUUUAGUUGCUAUUCAAAUUAAUCAUUUUACUA
RNAcentral lists this small RNA (608 nucleotides) under Pongo abelii (Sumatran orangutan). RNAcentral's name for it is "processed transcript". The record is from RNAcentral. Lineage: Eukaryota; Metazoa; Chordata; Mammalia; Primates; Hominidae.